ACUCCUACGGGAGGCAGCAGUGGGGAAUAUUGGACAAUGGGGGAAACCCUGAUCCAGCCAUGCCGCGUGUGUGAAGAAGGCCUUCGGUUGUAAAGCACUUCAGUGGGGAGGAAAGGUUGAUGGUUAAUACCUAUCAGCUGUGACGUUACCCACAGAAGAAGCACCGGCUAACUCCGUGCCAGCAGCCGCGGUAAUACGGAGGGUGCAAGCGUUAAUCGGAAUUACUGGGCGUAAAGCGUGCGCAGGCGGUCUGUUAAGCGAGAUGUGAAAGCCCCCGGGCUCAACCUGGGAACUGCAUUUCGAACUGGCAGACUAGAGUCUGUAGAGGGGUAGAAUUCCAGGUGUAGCGGUGAAAUGCGUAGAGAUCUGGAGGAAUACCGGUGGCGAAGGCGGCCCCUGGACAAAGACUGACGCUCAGGCACGAAAGCGUGGGAGCAAACAGGAUUAGAUACCCUGGUAGGUCAGUC
RNAcentral lists this ribosomal RNA (467 nucleotides) under uncultured bacterium. Its description in RNAcentral is "bacterial SSU rRNA". It matches the Rfam family "Bacterial small subunit ribosomal RNA", at positions 335 to 800 of the family's 1533-position model. The record is from RNAcentral.